This is a small nuclear RNA of Otolemur garnettii (small-eared galago), 107 nucleotides long. NCBI's taxonomy places the organism in Eukaryota, Metazoa, Chordata, Mammalia, Primates, Galagidae. The record is from Ensembl.
GUGCUCGCUUCGGCAGCACAUAUACUAAAAUUGGAACCAUACAGAGAAGAUUAGUAUGGCCCCUGCACAAAGAUGACACUCAAGUUUGUGAAGUGGUCCAUAUUUAA